GUAUUCCAAGAACAGGGCAGGAAGGAUAAACCCUGUGAACAUGGUAGUUUAGAUGCAAGCCGUAGUUUGUUGAUGUCAGUCCCCUUGGCAUCCUUCCCUUAUCUAAAGGAGAUGGCAUCAGACUAUGAAUUGUAUUACUUCUCCUGCUUUUCUUAUUGAACUAAUGGUUUUUAAGUCUAACUCCCCAUAAAGGGUCUUUGUAUCAAUAAUCACUGUAAUGAAGCUUAACAGCAACUUUCAAAUGCUGAUUUUUCUGUUACAGUUUAACAAAAUCUCUACCAACCGGUUUAAUGCAACUCACCUUACAUGCUGUCAAAAGAGGUUCUUAUAAAUUUCAACAUUACCAUCACUUUAGAAGUCUCACAUCUUAUUUAUUUGUGUUUGUAACAACAUUUAGUGACAUUUUAAAUAUGACAUGGAUUAUAAAGAUGCACAUGGUUGAUAAUUUAACAUGUUUUCAGGUGUUCCUGAGAUUAUGAGUGCCAAUGAAAUGUUUCCAAAUCAGAACUGAGUAUCAUGUCCCUUAAUAAACUACUUAACUUUCCUGGCAUAUUUGCCUCGUGAUAGGAGUGAUACCUGCUUUGUAAAGUUGUUACAAAGAUCACAUUGUAUGAGAAGUCGGGGCUAGGAGAUGGCUCCACACAGGGAUGGAGCACUUACUAUUUUUGAGGUCCUGGGUUUGAUCUCUGCCAACAUGAGAAUAUCAUCAGCAGCACCAGGGGAGGAAUCUUCACGGCUAAUGGAUAGUGCUUCGUGCCCCUGCCUCUUCUCUGUCUCCUGCUUUUAUUAAGCAUAGUCACCACCAGUCCCACCCAUUUUGGCCCAGAGGACACAAUAUGGUCUUUGAAUUGCUAAGUAGUACUCCAUUGAAUAUAUGUUCCGCAACAACUACUACUUUUUGUAUUGAUGAGACUCGAGCGAUUUUUAUUUGAUUAUUAAAGACUUUUUCCUCCUUA
Molecule: long non-coding RNA, 956 nt
Organism: Erinaceus europaeus (western European hedgehog)
Lineage: Eukaryota; Metazoa; Chordata; Mammalia; Eulipotyphla; Erinaceidae
Exons: 2
Source: RefSeq, a predicted model, not a curated record